This 372-nucleotide ribosomal RNA is filed under the name uncultured bacterium. RNAcentral's name for it is "bacterial SSU rRNA". It matches the Rfam family "Bacterial small subunit ribosomal RNA", at positions 30 to 404 of the family's 1533-position model. The record is from RNAcentral.
AUUGAACGCUGGCGGCAUGCUUUACACAUGCAAGUCGAACGGGGUGAGGGGGCAACCUCUCAUCUAGUGGCGAACGGGUGAGUAAUGCAUCGGAACGUGUCCCGUAGUGGGGGAUAACCCGGCGAAAGCCGGACUAAUACCGCAUAUGCUCUACGGAGGAAAGUGGGGGACCAGUAAUGGCCUCACGCUAUGGGAGCGGCCGAUGUCCGAUUAGCUUGUUGGUGAGGAAUGGCUCACCAAGGCGACGAUCGGUAGCUGGUCUGAGAGGAUGAUCAGCCACACUGGGACUGAGACACGGCCCAGACUCCUACGGGAGGCAGCAGUGGGAAUUUUGGACAAUGGGGGCAACCCUGAUCCAGCCAUGCCGCGUGC